RNAcentral lists this long non-coding RNA (294 nucleotides) under Mytilus galloprovincialis (Mediterranean mussel). The record is from RNAcentral. Lineage: Eukaryota; Metazoa; Mollusca; Bivalvia; Mytilida; Mytilidae.
AUUUUUAACAAGAACUAUCUUUAAAAAAGAUAUCCGACGUAUUUAAAUUUAAGUAUAUGUUUAAAACUAUCAUUUCAAUAACCUUCAGAAGCACAAAGAUACCAUUUAAACAACGUUUUCUCUGUUUGUGUUCAGUAUUCUCGGUCCUCGUAUCUUUAUUUACAUUCACCAAAACCCCGCGGAAAUCUCACUUGCGUAGGUGCGUUCUAAAAGUCAUGUACGUUCGUACAACAAAGUUUACAUUAAAAAUUAUAUAAUUGUCCCGAAUAAACAGCUGUCACGGAUGCAAAGAGC